This 252-nucleotide long non-coding RNA is filed under the name Elaeis guineensis (African oil palm). RNAcentral describes it as "long non-coding RNA (EGUI_LNC058664)". The record is from RNAcentral. Lineage: Eukaryota; Viridiplantae; Streptophyta; Magnoliopsida; Arecales; Arecaceae.
GGGAGUGUCUGUCGGGGGUGCAUCGACUACAGUGGGCUCCUAGACUUCGUCCAAAAAAUUCAGAUCUAAUUCUGAAUACUUGACAGCAAUCUUGUCUCGGACCAACUACUUUCCAUCGAUAUAAGUGUCAGCAGCAAACUCGAUCUUCUCGUUAUUAUACUUUUUUGAUGUUCAAAAAUCUUCAACGGCCUUUAAGGCAGCCUCUGCUAUCUUUCUCUCAACUGCCUCAGUCAUGACUUUAUUUUUUUUAGG